UAGGAAGUUUGUUGUGUAUGGGCAAU
Molecule: non-coding RNA, 26 nt
Filed under: Rattus norvegicus (Norway rat)
Lineage: Eukaryota; Metazoa; Chordata; Mammalia; Rodentia; Muridae
Source: RNAcentral